AUUGAACGCUGGCGGCCGGCCUAACACAUGCAAGUCGAACGCGUGGCGGACGGGUGAGUAAUGUCUGGGCCACUGCCUGAUGGCGGGGGCUACCUCCUGGCCACGGUCGCUCAUACCGCCUCCCCUCGGCUGUGCCCAGAUGGGAUGAGCUAGUAGGGGGGGGAACGGCUCACCUAGGCGACGAUCCCUAGCUGGUCUGAGAGGAUGACCAGCCACACGGGAAGUGAGCCACGGUCAAGAGUACUACGGGAGGAAGCAGGGGGGAAUAGUGCACAAGGGGCGCAAGCCGGAUGCAGACAGGCGGGGUGUAUGAAGAAGGCCGGCGGGGGGUAAAGUAAUGUCAGCGGGGAGGCGUUACCCGCAGAAGAAGCACCGGCUAACUCCGUGCCAGCAGCCGCGGUAAUAC
Molecule: ribosomal RNA, 406 nt
Filed under: uncultured bacterium
Lineage: Bacteria
Description: partial 16S ribosomal RNA
Rfam family: Bacterial small subunit ribosomal RNA
Source: RNAcentral